GACGAACGCUGGCGGCGUGCCUAAUACAUGCAAGUAGAACGCUGAAGGAGGAGCUUGCUCUUCUGGAUGAGUUGCGAACGGGUGAGUAACGCGUAGGUAACCUGCCUGGUAGCGGGGGAUAACUAUUGGAAACGAUAGCUAAUACCGCAUAAAAUUGAUUAUUGCAUGAUAGUCAAUUAAAAGGUGCAAUUGCAUCACUACCAGAUGGACCUGCGUUGUAUUAGCUAGUUGGUGAGGUAACGGCUCACCAAGGCAACGAUACAUAGCCGACCUGAGAGGGUGAUCGGCCACACUGGGACUGAGACACGGCCCAGACUCCUACGGGAGGCAGCAGUAGGGAAUCUUCGGCAAUGGACGGAAGUCUGACCGAGCAACGCCGCGUGAGGGAAGAAGGUUUUCGGAUCGUAAAGCUCUGUUGUAAGAGAAGAACGAGUGUGAGAGUGGAAAGUUCACACUGUGACGGUAUCUUACCAGAAAGGGACGGCUAACUACGUG
This 495-nucleotide ribosomal RNA is filed under the name uncultured bacterium. Its description in RNAcentral is "partial 16S ribosomal RNA". It matches the Rfam family "Bacterial small subunit ribosomal RNA", at positions 28 to 507 of the family's 1533-position model. The record is from RNAcentral.